UGCAAGUCGAGCGAUGAAGCACCUUCGGGUGUGAAUUAGCGGCGAACGGGUGAGGAACGCGUGAGAAAUCUGCCUUCAACACUGGGAUAACUCCGGGAAACCGGGGCUAAUACCGGAUAUGAAAUCUGCGGGCAUCCGCGGAUUUGGAAAGUUUUUCGGUUGAAGAUGAUCUCGCGGCCUAUCAGCUUGUUGGUGAGGUAAUGGCUCACCAAGGCGACGACGGGUAGCCGGCCUGAGAGGGCGACCGGCCACACUGGGACUGAGACACGGCCCAGACUCCUACGGGAGGCAGCAGUGGGGAAUAUUGGGCAAUGGAGGAAACUCUGACCCAGCGACGCCGCGUGCGGGAUGAAGGCCUUCGGGUUGUAAACCGCUUUCAGCAGGGAAGAAGCGAAAGUGACGGUACCUGCAGAAGAAGCACCGGCUAACUAUGUGCCAGCAGCCGCGGUAAUACAUAGGGUGCAAGCGUUGUCCGGAAUUAUUGGGCGUAAAGAGCUCGUAGGUGGUUCGUCACGUCGGAUGUGAAACUCUGGGGCUUAACCCCAGACCUGCAUUCGAUACGGGCGAGCUUGAGUAUGGUAGGGGAGUCUGGAAUUCCUGGUGUAGCGGUGGAAUGCGCAGAUAUCAGGAGGAACACCAAUGGCGAAGGCAGGACUCUGGGCCAUUACUGACACUGAGGAG
This 681-nucleotide ribosomal RNA is filed under the name uncultured Actinomycetes bacterium. Its description in RNAcentral is "bacterial SSU rRNA". It matches the Rfam family "Bacterial small subunit ribosomal RNA", at positions 56 to 753 of the family's 1533-position model. The record is from RNAcentral. Lineage: Bacteria; Bacillati; Actinomycetota; Actinomycetes.